This is a long non-coding RNA of Sinocyclocheilus anshuiensis, 293 nucleotides long. RefSeq lists it as uncharacterized. Lineage: Eukaryota; Metazoa; Chordata; Actinopteri; Cypriniformes; Cyprinidae. The record is from RefSeq and is a predicted model, not a curated record. The transcript is spliced from 3 exons.
CUAUCAGUAGAACAUCACAUUUUUCUUUUCUGUUUGCAGGAAGAAGAUUUGGUGUUGAUAGAGGAGGCAACAUCUUCAAGGCAAAACCUUAGACCUCAUUCAACAUCAUCCAAUGUUGCAAUCACCCUCAGGAGGCACUUGAAGACCAGUGUCCAAUAUGCACAGGAACAUUUCCAGUGUCAGAAGUAGAACUGCCAUGCCAGCUUUUGUGGAGAAAGACUCUCCAAGGAAGGUGAUUUUCAAGGGAUUGACAGGGCUUCCUGUUUUUUGACGUUUCCACAACUUUAGACAUG